Molecule: long non-coding RNA, 1049 nt
Filed under: Mytilus galloprovincialis (Mediterranean mussel)
Lineage: Eukaryota; Metazoa; Mollusca; Bivalvia; Mytilida; Mytilidae
Source: RNAcentral
CUUUUGGUUUUGAGUUAUAAGCCAAAAACUGCAUUUUACCCCUAUGUUCUAUUUUUAGCCAUGGCGGCCAUCUUGGAUUCAUCUGAAAAGUUCAGGGCAGAUAGAUCUUGACCUGAUGAACAAUACUACUCCAUGUCAGAUUGCUCUAAAUGCUUUGGUUUUUGAGUUAUAAGCUAAAAAACUGCAUUUUACCCCUAUGUUCUAUUUUUAACCAUGGCGGCCAUCUUAGUUGGUUGGGUGGGGCACCAGACACAUUUUUUAAACUAGAUACCCCAAUUAUGAUUGUGGCUAAGUUUGGUUAAAUUUGGCCCAGUAGUUUCAGAGGAGAAGAUUUUUGUAAAAGUUAACGCAGGACAACGACAACGACGGACGACGACGGACGCCGGACGCCAAGUGAUGAGAAAAGCUCACUUGGCCUUCCGGCCAGGUGAGCUAAAAAUAUCAUGUUAAUUUUUACCUGGAUAAGUUUUACUCAGAAUUUUUGAGUUCAUUUCCAGUAUCAUACAGAUACAAAUAUGGAUACCUAGGAUAACUGUCUGCUGAAUGUUUAAAGUGCAGUAUGUUCACCAAAAAAUAUUCGUAAAUUAUGGCACUUCAAUAAAUAAAUAUGACAUAUGAAAUAAAUUGAUAUUUUCCAUCAUCAGAGUAAAACUGUUUUCCAUUGUCAUAUUCUGACUAGCUUGAAAAAUUAAAGAAAUAAUAAUGUCAAGGUACCCCCCUUCCCCCUAUGGAGAGAUAAAAUGUAUUUGAAAGGUAAAAUAACAGCCACUAAUUUGUUCAUGGGCAAAAAGAACUAGAGGCUCUAAAGAGCCUGUGUCGCUCACCUUGGUCUAUGUGCAUAUCAAACAAAGGACACAAAUGGAUUCAUGACAAAAUUGUAUUUUGGUAAUGGUGAUGUGUUUGAAGUUCUUACUUUACUGAACGAUUUUGCUUCUUACAAUUAUAUCUAUAAUGAACUUUGCCCAUUAGUAACAGAGACUAUAUUUGGUAAAAAAUUUACAUAAAUUUACCAAAUUAAUGAAAAUUGUUAAAAAUUGACUAUAAAGGGG